Molecule: small RNA, 295 nt
Filed under: Penicillium subrubescens
Lineage: Eukaryota; Fungi; Ascomycota; Eurotiomycetes; Eurotiales; Aspergillaceae
Description: 5' ureB small RNA
Rfam family: 5' ureB small RNA
Source: Rfam by way of RNAcentral
CUUCAUCCACUUGCUGCGGGCAAAUUAGAUGAAUAUGCGUGUCGAAGCCACCGGCCGUGAUGAUCUUAUUCUCGCCGGCAAUCACAUCUGUAGACGAUCCCACCACCAGGUCCGGGUGAACUCCGUCCAUGACAUCCGGGUUACCAGCCUUGCCGAUACCAGCAAUCAAACCAUUCUUAAUACCAAUAUCCGCCUUGUAGAUACCCGUAUAGUCGAUAAUCAAAGCGUUGGUAAUCACCGUAUCCACACACUCAGCCGCCGAACGUCCAGAAGCCUGUCCCAUUCCCUCGCGCAG